Long non-coding RNA from Lolium perenne, 1664 nucleotides. RefSeq lists it as uncharacterized. The record is from RefSeq and is a predicted model, not a curated record. Lineage: Eukaryota; Viridiplantae; Streptophyta; Magnoliopsida; Poales; Poaceae.
AUGUGAGCUCCAUUGGAGCCUCUCCCCAGCAUCACCAGGGCAAUACAGCGAGGGCCAUGCUUUUGAAGAGGGCGACAGCGAGCAGCGUGGCUCUGCCGCAGCCGCUUGCUGUCACCUACUUCAAAACCAUGCCCCGAGCUGAAAAUCAGGUGGCGGCGCCCAUCUUUCAUACGCACGGCAGGCAGGCAGGCUUGCUCAUCGGCGCCUGCUGCAGCGCGCCGCCGAUUUGACGGCCCGUCUUCUUCGGCCGUCUCCUCCGGACACCCAGCGGCCGGCUCUGAACUGAAGGUGUUUGGAUCCGUUUGCUCUUGCUGUAGGACCUUCGCUUGUUCUGGGAUAUAUAGAUCUAUGGUUCUCAUCUCAUGUUGUAAGUUUGGAAACCUGUCCCUAGCCUGUCGGUAAAUUAUUUCUAGAGCAUCAGUAAGACAUCUGCGAGAUCUUACUCACCCUGUUACAGUAGAGUGUAGAGUCCGAACCAUUUAUCCUUCGGCAGUUUGCGGGAAAAACUACUAGCACUGACUUGGCGGUGGUUCCGGACACUGAAAUUUCGUGAUCUCGUAUGGUGUGCAAUAUUCAUGUUCUCAUUCCUUUCAUAGCUAUAAGCUAACAGUAAAUACUUGGAAAAUUCAAGGAACUUGGAUGGAAGGUUAUCACAGUUUUGUUUUGUCGUUGGUAGUCUGUGAGACUCUGUGUUGUGCUGAUGAUAUUUUUCGGUAUGUACGAUAUGUAUCCUUGCAGUUCUGUACAUUAGAAUUAGAAACAACUUGCCAAAUAUCUGAGUGGAACUUACAUGCUUUGAAAUAGUCAACAUGGAAGGGUAACUAGAGCCACAAUUUUAUGAAAAGUUGUUACUGAGAGCAGCUAUUUAUUUGUUUAUUCUCUUUUUUAUAGUACACGUUAAGGCUCUACAUGGAUGGAGAAGGAAUAUUACAAGUCUCAACCUACUGUUUCAUUUUUGCUAUUUUUUUUUCAUUUCUGUGGCUCUAGGUUCUUUGCAUUCCAUUCUAUCAUAUUAGCACUGAUGGGUACCACUCAGGUAUGUCAUCUACAUUCCAUAUUCCUGGAUGUCUGGAGCUACUUAUUCUCUGGUAGUUACUCUUUAUUUUAAAUGUUCAGGAGAUUAUCAAAAACACAUAUCCAUAAGGCAUGGAAGUCUUAUCACUCAAUUGAGGCACGGAGACUAUGAUUCACCCAGUGUGGUAUAAAGAGCCUCAGAGGAAUACAAAUUCAUGCAGGAAGGUGCACAAAAAUCUCCUACAACAAGAGCAGCAUUAGGUGAUUGGGCAGAUGAUCUUGUGCUGAUCUGUGAAAGCAUGGUGUUUGUUUUUGUAGUAUCACCAAUGGUGCUAAAUUGCUAAUUGCAUAGUCAAGAUGCAUGUGGGAAGCCCAACCAUUCGAUUUAGAGUACAAUUGCUAAUGCAUUGUUUAGGCAUGCAGCUAAUAGGGAUGCUAAACUAGAUAAUGCAGUGUCAUUAGUUUCAAAGGUUAAAAUUGUGUAAUUGAGUUUCAGACAUUUUUGGUGUGCUGAAACCUUAAUGUGUCAUAUGGAGACCGAGUUUCAGACAUGCCUAAUUGUUGGAAUAUUGACAUGUCUAACUAUGAUUUCCAUUCCUAUGUAUCAAGGAUUUGUUUCAAGGGUAAAAAUGCCUACUAGUUUCUGAGCA